UGCAAAUGAUGAUAAAAUCAAGGCUUGUUUCUCUAUAUUCGCAGUUGCCACCUAAGAGCUUUAGCCCAAUCAGGCUUGAGAGCUAGUGUUGCUAAAUGCUUGGAUGUCUGUUGCA
This is a small nucleolar RNA of Panicum virgatum (switchgrass), 115 nucleotides long. RefSeq annotates it as small nucleolar RNA SNORD14. NCBI's taxonomy places the organism in Eukaryota, Viridiplantae, Streptophyta, Magnoliopsida, Poales, Poaceae. The transcript has a single exon. The record is from RefSeq and is a predicted model, not a curated record.